UGACUGCAGCGCCAUGCCACAAUUCUUAAAAUGUUUGCAGAGGGAGGGCAGAAUAUCAGUAGCAACCUCAGUUUACAAGUUGAUCAUUGAUGACACAUAGUACAUCUGAUUCUCACAGACAAGUUUUUAUAAGGCUUGCAGCUGCAGACAAGAACGUAACUGCCAGUUCACGGACAAUUACCAAAUGAUAUCUUUAGAAGUUUACAGUAAGUGCUGUGUAUGUGUUCAUGGAGUGAAAAACAUUGCAGCACUUGAAACAUUUCAGCUUUGUAUCUCUCGGAUGAUUAUCUGAAUGUAGAGGAAAAUGAAGAAGCGGAUUUAUCCAGAAUCCCAUAACUGGGGGAGGCUUUCCACCAUUCUUUUUCUCUUCACUUUUGUAAUCAUCAUGCUGACUGCACCGUCUGUGUUUUUUACACAAACAAGAGGAAAUCAAAAUGGGAAACAAAAUGAACCCAACGGAGCAUGGCAGAAACGCCAGAUACUCAACAACUACAAACUGAACAAUCUAUCAAAGAUAAACAUUACCAACUAUGACCUGUCACAGAUUUUGAAAAGUGGACACAUUUUGAAUGACACAACCCAACAGUCUAUCAAUAAAUCAUCAGAAUCAAAGCAACACAUUAUGAAAGACUGGUUGCCUGAGAUUCUUUCAAACACCACAACUUUGACAUCCACAUAUGGCUCUUCAACUCGAACUGCAACACCAGGGAUGAGACUAAGAGAUACAGAUACAUAUACAGCUGAAUCUGAAGCUACACUACAAACUGGAGGCGCAACUCGACUUUCAUCAGGUAAUGAGGAAAAAUUAACUGGUCAGCUUGCUGAAAGGUCAAGUUCACACAAUACUGAAUCAAAAUCAAUAAAUGCUGUGGCAACUCUGACUCCGUCAUCUGUUGCAACAGUGACACCCACAGGAAUAACAAAAUCAACACAGUCAGUCUCAUUACCCACAACUAAUGAAGUAACAUCAUCAACCAUGACAGAAUAUUCAACAACCAAUUUCCCCACAAGUAUUAAACUUACAUCUUCUUCACCGUCAACAUUGGAUUCGACAACUACUGACUUUGCUGAUACAUCAACUUCACACAGUAUUGAAACAGAAGCAACAACUGCUAUGACAACUCUGAGUCCAUCAACUAACCAGGAAACAUCUACAUCUAUGAUGUCCUCACCCACACAACCAGACCUGACAUCUGCUGCAACAGUGACACCCACAGAAAUAACACAACUAACAGAGUCAGUCUCAUCACCCACCACAGAUGAAGUAACAUCAUCAACCAUGACAGAAUAUUCUUCAACAACCACUUUCCCCACAAGUACUAAACUUACAUCUUCUUCACCGUCAAC
This is a long non-coding RNA of Amphiprion ocellaris (clown anemonefish), 1347 nucleotides long. Lineage: Eukaryota; Metazoa; Chordata; Actinopteri; Pomacentridae. The record is from Ensembl.